AUUCUACUCCCUCCGUUGCACAAUACAUGCCUUCUAUUUGUCAAAAUAUAUAUGUAUCUAGACAUGUCUUAAUACAUAGGUACAUCCAUUUUUGGACAAAUGGAAGUCAAGUAUUUUGGAACGGAGGGAGUACACA
This is a non-coding RNA of Triticum aestivum (bread wheat), 136 nucleotides long. The record is from Rfam. NCBI's taxonomy places the organism in Eukaryota, Viridiplantae, Streptophyta, Magnoliopsida, Poales, Poaceae.